UACAGGUUAGGUGAUCCUUCCUCAGAUA
RNAcentral lists this non-coding RNA (28 nucleotides) under Mus musculus (house mouse). The record is from RNAcentral. Lineage: Eukaryota; Metazoa; Chordata; Mammalia; Rodentia; Muridae.